UACGGAGGGUGCGAGCGUUGUCCGGAAUCACUGGGCGUAAAGGGCGCGUAGGCGGCGCGGGAAGUCGUCGGUGAAAGCUCAGGGCUCAACUCUGAGCCGGCCGGCGAUACUCUCGUGCUCGAGCACUGUAGAGGCAGGUGGAAUUCCUGGUGUAGCGGUGAAAUGCGUAGAUAUCAGGAGGAACACCUGUGGCGAAAGCGGCGCACUGGACCACAACUGACGCUGAGGCGCGAAAGCUAGGGGAGCAAACAGG
This 253-nucleotide ribosomal RNA is filed under the name uncultured bacterium. RNAcentral describes it as "partial 16S ribosomal RNA". It matches the Rfam family "Bacterial small subunit ribosomal RNA", at positions 524 to 776 of the family's 1533-position model. The record is from RNAcentral.